UCCCGGCGGUCCAAGUCGCAUCCACAAUUAUUGGGUCUAAAACAUCCGUAGCUUGUUUUUUAAGUCUCUUGUGAAAUUCCAUAUCUUAAGUAUGGAGCGUGCAAGAGAUACUAGAAGGCUAGAGACCGGAAGACGCAAAGAGUACGAUCGAGGUAGCGGUAAAAUGUGUUAAUCUUGAUUGGACUAACAGUGGCGAAGGCGCUUUGCGAGUACGGAUCUGACAGUGAGGGAUGAAGGCUAGGGGC
RNAcentral lists this ribosomal RNA (245 nucleotides) under uncultured archaeon. RNAcentral's name for it is "partial 16S ribosomal RNA". It matches the Rfam family "Archaeal small subunit ribosomal RNA", at positions 474 to 718 of the family's 1478-position model. The record is from RNAcentral.